GUGGAUUAGAUACCCUGGUAGUCCACGCUGUAAACGAUGUCGACUAGCCGUCGGGGGUCUUCGUGCCCUUGGUGGCGUAGCUAACGCGCUAAGUCGACCGCCUGGGGAGUACGGUCGCAAGAUUAAAACUCAAAUGAAUUGACGGGGGCCCGCACAAGCGGUGGAGCAUGUGGUUUAAUUCGACGCAACGCGAAGAACCUUACCAGGUCUUGACAUCCAGAGAAGUCGCUAGAGAUAGCUUCGUGCCUUCGGGAACUCUGAGACAGGUGCUGCACGGUUGUCGUCAACU
RNAcentral lists this ribosomal RNA (289 nucleotides) under uncultured bacterium. RNAcentral describes it as "partial 16S ribosomal RNA". It matches the Rfam family "Bacterial small subunit ribosomal RNA", at positions 773 to 1060 of the family's 1533-position model. The record is from RNAcentral.